AUUGAACGCUGGCGGCAGGCCUAACACAUGCAAGUCGAACGAGUGGCGGACGGGUGAGUAAUGUCUGGGAAACUGCCCGAUGGAGGGGGAUAACUACUGGAAACGGUAGCUAAUACCGCAUACUAUCGGAUGAACCCAUAUGGGAUUAGCUAGUAGGUGGGGUAAAGGCUCACCUAGGCGACGAUCUCUAGCUGGUCUGAGAGGAUGAUCAGCCACACUGGGACUGAGACACGGCCCAGACUCCUACGGGAGGCAGCAGUGGGGAAUAUUGCACAAUGGGCGCAAGCCUGAUGCAGCCAUGCCGCGUGUAUGAAGAAGGCCUUCGGGUUGUAAAGUACUUUCAGCGAGGAGGCGUUACUCGCAGAAGAAGCACCGGCUAACUCCGUGCCAGCAGCCGCGGUAAUUC
Molecule: ribosomal RNA, 406 nt
Filed under: uncultured bacterium
Lineage: Bacteria
Description: partial 16S ribosomal RNA
Rfam family: Bacterial small subunit ribosomal RNA
Source: RNAcentral